UCCUACCUCCACGUUUCAAGCGAAGGGGCCGAGGGAAGGCCUGGAUGUUUAUGUCAAGGAAAAAUAACUUCUCCCUCUGUGUACAAUCCUCCGGCUCCCCCAGGGCUACGUGCGGGAGGAGCUCCUGCUUGGCCCCCAGAGCUUCACGGCAAACAAAACAUCAGAAACCCGGGCUGGCGGUGCAGGAAGGAAACCUGCUCACGUGGGGGCUGAGUCACGAUCCUGCUGCUCCCUUCUGGCAUCCCAGGGAACAAGGCAGCAUCAGCUUCAGUGGGAAAGGCUGGAUUUGCUUCCUUAACACAUAAAGAGUCUCCAUGCUGCCCUUUUGGGCCUCGGCCAAAAUCCAGGGAGGAUGCUGAAAAGCUGAGUUUAAAACAGGCUCCUCAGCCCCCCUGACCUGGGACCAGCUAUUUGAUUUUCUACUGUCAGCGCCAGACUUCUUGUCUUGAGCAUCACAUGAUACCACGAAGACUGUCACCACUCGGACCCCUCCAGACCCAGCAAAGGCCGGAGGUCUAAUGUAUGUCUGAACCCAGGAGCACCAUCAGCUCUGGUCUGGAGGGGCCGGUAUUCCCAGCUCCCGAUCUACAGGAGAAAAAAAACAUAGAUAGAUAUAGAUAUAGAUACAGCUAUAGAUAUAGAUAUAGAUAUGGAUAUAGAUAUAGAUGUACACACACAGAGGAGAUAUGACACAUAUAUAUAUAUAUGUAUAAGUAAGGUGAGGACAAACUUUAGUAGGACCUGUAGCGAUAGGACAAGGGGAAAUGGUUUUAAGCUAAAAAAAGGUAAAUUCAGACUGCAUAUUAGGAAGAAAUUUUUUAUGAUGAGGGUGGUGAAACACUGGCACAAGCUGCCCAAAGAGGUUAGAAUCCCUGGCAGUGUUCAAGGCCAGGCUGGACAGGACUUGGAGCAACCUGGUCUGGUGGAAGGGGUCCCUGCCCAUGGCAGGGGGGUUGGACUAGAUGGCCUUUAAAGGUCCCUUCCAACCCAAACUGUGCUAUGAUUCUAUAAUUAUAUACAUAUGCACACACAGAGGAGAUAUGGCACGUAUAUAUCUCUGCACACAGGCCACCUCUGGCCAGACCUAAGACCAAGAAGCCCAUGGUGUUGCUGUUUCUGAGGGGGUAAGGAAAGCAUGUCUGAAGAUGAGCGUAAGAAUGUGGCAAGUGGAGUGAUGCACCCCAGCACCUCUCCCUCUUCAGGCCACCUCCAGCUCAGGACUUUAUGAAGUCUCUGUCUUGACUUGCCCUCAUUGGGGUUUUAUUCUAUACAUUUGCUUGGUUGUGGGUUUAAAACUUUGAUACUUUUCACAACCCUGCUCCAGUGAUGAACCACCUCCUUCAGUUGCUUUGAUCCUGCCACCUGCCAGGUUCGUUUGAUACCAUAUUUCUCCAAUUGUGUUUCUUAUUUGUUCUCUCUGAGCCACGCAUGAUUUUGUAACCAUAUACCCUAUCCCACCCCUUUAGCCGUCUCUUUUCCAGUCUGGAGACCUCCAGUCUUCCUCUCUGGGCAUCAUUCUACCUCAGGAGUGCUAAGACUUGAUUUGUUUGUUACUCACUUCAGCAAUAUUCAUCCAGGUACUGGGGCCAGGCGCUGCAGAGGGAGACCUGUGUGUUGUGGAGUUUCAACAGCUUUAAGCUAUCAUUAAGGGGGGGGAGACUGGGUGGAGGAGACACGAAAGGAUGCUGGGUGGGUGUGGGAAUGAUGGCACGCACUGUGAGCACUGAGUGGGAGGCCGGGGGUGGGACCCAGUCUAAGCAAGACAGGAGACA
Molecule: long non-coding RNA, 1772 nt
Organism: Falco peregrinus (peregrine falcon)
Lineage: Eukaryota; Metazoa; Chordata; Aves; Falconiformes; Falconidae
Exons: 3
Source: RefSeq, a predicted model, not a curated record